Molecule: ribosomal RNA, 497 nt
Filed under: uncultured bacterium
Lineage: Bacteria
Description: partial 16S ribosomal RNA
Rfam family: Bacterial small subunit ribosomal RNA
Source: RNAcentral
GACGAACGCUGGCGGCGUGCCUAAUACAUGCAAGUCGAGCGCUCAAGGUUGGUGCUUGUACCACCUGGAUGAGCAGCGAACGGGUGAGUAACGCGUGGGGAAUCUGCCUUUGAGCGGGGGACAACAUCUGGAAACGAAUGCUAAUACCGCAUAAAAUCUUUAAACACAAGUUUCAAGUUUGAAAGAUGCACUUGCAUCACUCUAUGAUGAUACCGCGGUGUCUUAGCUAGUUGGUGAGGUAAAGGCCCACCAAGGCGAUGAUACAUAGCCGACCUGAGAGGGUGGUCGGCCACAAUGGGAAUGGGACACGGCCCAAACUCCUACGGGAAGCAGCAGUAGGGGAUCUUCGGCAAUGGACGGAAGUCUGAACGAGCAAAGCCGCGUGAGUGAAGAAGGGUUUCGGAUCGUAAAACUCUGGUGGUAAGGAAGAACGAUGGUGGGAGUGGAAAGCGCAUCAAGUGACGGUAACUACUCAGAAAGGGACGGCUAACUACGUG